ACCAGACUCCUACGGGAGGCAGCAGUAGGGAAUCUUUCACAAUGGGCGAAAGCCUGACGCAGCAACGCCGCGUGCAGGAAGAAGGUCUUCGGAUUGUAAACUGUUGUCGCAGGGGAAGAAGACAGUGACGGUACCCUGUGAGAAAGUCACGGCUAACUACGUGCCAGCAGCCGCGGUAAUACGUAGGUGACAAGCGUUGUCCGGAUUUACUGGGUGUAAAGGGCGCGUAGGCGGAUGUGCAAGUCAGUCGUGAAAUGCUGGGGCUCAACCCCGGGGCUGCGAUUGAAACUGCACACCUUGAGUAUCGGAGAGGAAAGCGGAAUUCCUAGUGUAGCGGUGAAAUGCGUAGAUAUUAGGAGGAACGCCAGUGGCGAAGGCGGCUUUCUGGACGACAACUGACGCUGAGGCGCGGAAGUGUGGGGAGCAAACAGGAUUAGAUGGCCCAGUA
This 448-nucleotide ribosomal RNA is filed under the name uncultured bacterium. RNAcentral describes it as "bacterial SSU rRNA". It matches the Rfam family "Bacterial small subunit ribosomal RNA", at positions 330 to 792 of the family's 1533-position model. The record is from RNAcentral.